CCUACGGGGGGCAGCAGUGGGGAAUAUUGGACAAUGGGCGAAAGCCUGAUCCAGCCAUGCCGCGUGUGUGAAGAAGGCCUUCGGGUUGUAAAGCACUUUCAGUGGGGAAGAAAGCCUUGGGGCUAAUACCCUCGAGGAAGGACAUCACCCACAGAAGAAGCACCGGCUAACUCCGUGCCAGCAGCCGCGGUAAUACGGAGGGUGCGAGCGUUAAUCGGAAUUACUGGGCGUAAAGCGCGCGUAGGCGGUCUGAUAAGCCGGUUGUGAAAGCCCCGGGCUCAACCUGGGAACGGCAUCCGGAACUGUCAAGCUAGAGUGCAGGAGAGGAAGGUAGAAUUCCCGGUGUAGCGGUGAAAUGCGUAGAGAUCGGGAGGAAUACCAGAGGCGAAGGCGGCCUUCUGGACUGACACUGACGCUGAGGUGCGAAAGCGUGGGUAGCAAACAGGAUUAGAUACCCUGGUAGUC
This 465-nucleotide ribosomal RNA is filed under the name Vreelandella stevensii. RNAcentral describes it as "partial 16S ribosomal RNA". It matches the Rfam family "Bacterial small subunit ribosomal RNA", at positions 338 to 795 of the family's 1533-position model. The record is from RNAcentral. Lineage: Bacteria; Pseudomonadati; Pseudomonadota; Gammaproteobacteria; Oceanospirillales; Halomonadaceae.